GAUGAACGCUAGCGGCAGGCCUAACACAUGCAAGUCGAGGGAGAAGCCCUUCGGGGCAGAAACCGGCGCACGGGUGCGUAACGCGUAUGCAACCUACCUUUCACAGGGGGAUAGCCCGAAGAAAUUUGGAUUAAUACCCCAUAAUAUUAUUGGAUGGCAUCAUUUGAUAAUUAAAAUUACGAUGGUGAAAGAUGGGCAUGCGUCCUAUUAGCUAGUUGGAGUGGUAACGGCACCCCAAGGCUACGAUAGGUAGGGGUCCUGAGAGGGAGAUCCCCCACACUGGUACUGAGACAGGGACCAGACUCCUACGGGAGGCAGCAGUGAGGAAUAUUGGUCAAUGGUCGGAAGACUGAACCAGCCAUGCCGCGUGCAGGAAGAAUGCCUUAUGGGUUGUAAACUGCUUUUAUAUGGGAAGAAUAAGGAGUACGUGUACUUUGAUGACGGUACCAUAUGAAUAAAGCUCGG
RNAcentral lists this ribosomal RNA (465 nucleotides) under Capnocytophaga granulosa. RNAcentral's name for it is "bacterial SSU rRNA". It matches the Rfam family "Bacterial small subunit ribosomal RNA", at positions 28 to 496 of the family's 1533-position model. The record is from RNAcentral. Lineage: Bacteria; Pseudomonadati; Bacteroidota; Flavobacteriia; Flavobacteriales; Flavobacteriaceae.